AAGCCUCGUCUUCGGUGGUCAAGUCAGGUUUCAGGAUUCUUGAGAAGUUCUUGAGUACCGCGCGGGAUCGGACUCGAAGGUAAUCCUAGCAACAUUAACUCUUUUGACAGUAUGUGAAGAUUGACAUUAUUAAACGCACCGAUGAUAUCGAAAAAAAUUGCGAACAAUGUAUUGUGUUGUUUAAAAGAAUGAAAAAUAUCUAAUUGAAGAUGAGUUAUACUCUCUCUAGCAGAUCUACCUUUUCUAAAACCAAACUGGUUAGAGGGUUUUGUCAAGGAGUGAUAUAUAUGUGAAGGUGCACACUUGUGUUGAAUUAAAGUAGAUUGUUCUGCAGUUACAUUAAUAAUGGCAGUUAAUUCUGAAUAUGACUUUAAUGGAUUGGAAAGGUCGAAGUUAUGGUUUGACAUCAAACUAUCUAACACCAUUGUAUAUUUUUUAAAAUCAAUGUUUCUACUACUUAAAUGAUGAGGAAAAGGUAAAUGAAAGCUACCAAGUGGGUCAUCAGUUACUAUCCAGUCAGAAUUAAGAGCCAAAGAAGGCGAAACAAUGGUUAAAUCCAAGGCAUUGGGCUGCCAAAUGUGUGAGCCAACAGUUGUAGGAUGUCCAUUAUUAAGUAUGACCAAACCAUUUUCAUCUGAACUUUCAUAGAUGUCACGACCCCUAGCAUCGAUAGAUGAACAUCCCCAAAGCAGGUGGUGGGCAUUAAAGUCACCUGCUAGAAAUAUUGGUUCCGGAAUAUUACGGAUGAGAUUAUUUAACUUUUUCUUUGAAAACUGAAGAGUGCAAUUACCUGGACUAUAUAGACUUAUUAUAGAUAAUUCUUUAUUACAAUAUUUUAAUCUAAUAGCAAUAUUUUGAAGUGAAUCAUCAUAUUUUGUUUGUAUACUAGUGUAAUUUAAUUUAUUGUGAAUUAGUAUGGCUACACCAUUAUGAGUGUUGCCUGAAUCUAACCUAACCAAGUUAUAUUCUUUAAAUCUUAUUUUGUGAUGUGGUUUUAGCCACGUUUCACAAAUUACUGCAAUGUGAAUAUUGUUCUCAUAUAAAAAUUGUGAAAAAAUAUGUCUAUGGCACAUUAAGCUCUGAGCAUUCCAUUGAACUAUGUUCAGACUGUCCAUUAGUGUAAUAUGUUAUUUUGUUUUUCUACAUUAAAUGUCUC
This is a long non-coding RNA of Hyposmocoma kahamanoa, 1156 nucleotides long. RefSeq lists it as uncharacterized. Lineage: Eukaryota; Metazoa; Arthropoda; Insecta; Lepidoptera; Cosmopterigidae. The record is from RefSeq and is a predicted model, not a curated record. The transcript has 5 exons.